GGGUGGGCAAGGUGAUUGCCACGCCUGAAAAGCGGAAGGUCGGCGGUUCGACCCCGCCCCUGACCA
Molecule: transfer RNA, 66 nt
Filed under: Streptosporangium lutulentum
Lineage: Bacteria; Bacillati; Actinomycetota; Actinomycetes; Streptosporangiales; Streptosporangiaceae
Description: tRNA-Ser
Source: RNAcentral